This 496-nucleotide ribosomal RNA is filed under the name uncultured bacterium. RNAcentral describes it as "partial 16S ribosomal RNA". It matches the Rfam family "Bacterial small subunit ribosomal RNA", at positions 29 to 507 of the family's 1533-position model. The record is from RNAcentral.
AUGAACGCUGGCGGCGUGCCUAAUACAUGCAAGUCGAGCGAACGGACGAGAAGCUUGCUUCUCUGAUGUUAGCGGCGGACGGGUGAGUAACACGUGGAUAACCUACCUAUAAGACUGGGAUAACUUCGGGAAACCGGAGCUAAUACCGGAUGAUAUUUUGAACCGCAUGGUUCAAAAGUGAAAGACGGUCUUGCUGUCACUUAUAGAUGGAUCCGCGCUGCAUUAGCUAGUUGGUAAGGUAACGGCUUACCAAGGCAACGAUGCAUAGCCGACCUGAGAGGGUGAUCGGCCACACUGGAACUGAGACACGGUCCAGACUCCUACGGGAGGCAGCAGUAGGGAAUCUUCCGCAAUGGGCGAAAGCCUGACGGAGCAACGCCGCGUGAGUGAUGAAAGUCUUCGGAUCGUAAAACUCUGUUAUUAGGGAAGAACAUAUGUGUAAGUAACUGUGCACAUCUUGACGGUACCUAAUCAGAAAGCCACGGCUAACUACGUG